Long non-coding RNA from Tripterygium wilfordii, 1022 nucleotides. RefSeq lists it as uncharacterized. The record is from RefSeq and is a predicted model, not a curated record. NCBI's taxonomy places the organism in Eukaryota, Viridiplantae, Streptophyta, Magnoliopsida, Celastrales, Celastraceae. The transcript has 2 exons.
UCGCUUGUUCUUCUCCUUCGUGCGGAUUUUGUUUUCCCAUACAAUUUACUGACAUUUAUUGCCCAGUAAAAAAUUAAAUGUACGAGUAAAGGUGAUCUGCCUUGUUCAGGUUUUUGUAAGGUGCUUGAACUAUUUUUGAUGUGGAUCUUUGUGACUGACUACUUAUUGUCGUUAGUAGGCUGCCUUGGAUUGGGGGGGGUUGAUGAAUUUUGUGUUGAUUGUUGAACCUGAUGAAAAAAGCAGUGGCCCGUUGCCCUUGUGAACAGGUCUUUCAUAAACUUCAGGGAAAUCACUUGCAAUGUUAUUGGGUGAACCCAUGUUUGAUUCCCAUAACUAGAGGUUCAGUAAAUGAUGCCACAUUCGAUUGCUACUACAUGUAGUUUUUUGGAGUAGAUUCUUUUAAGUUUGAUUUUGCUCUCGUUAGAUUUAUAGAGGACAGUCAGUUGAACCUGAUGAAAAAAGCAGUGGCCUGUUGCCUUGUGAACAGGUCUCUCGUAAACUUCAGGGAAAUCACUUGCAAUGUUAUUGGGUGAACCCAUGUUUGAUUCUCGUAACUAAAGGUUCAGUAAAUGAUGCCACAUUCGAUUGCUACUGCAUGUAGUUUUUUGGAGUAGAUUCUUUUAAGUUUGAUUUUGCUCUCAUUAGAUUUAUAGAUGACAGUUGAACCUGAUGAAAAAAGCAGUGGCCUGUUGCCCUUGUGAACAGGUCUCUUGUAAACUGCAGCGAAAUCACUUGCAAUGUUAUUGGGUGAACACCCAUGUUUGAUUCUAGUAACUAAAGGUUCAGUAAAUGAUGCCACAUUCGAAUGCUACUGCAUGUAGUUUUUUGGAGUAGAUUCUUUUAAGUUUGUUUUGCUCUUGUUGGAUUUAUAGACAGUUGAACCUGAUGAAAAAAGCAGUGGCCUGUUGCCCUUGUGAACAGGUCUCUUGUAAACUUCAGGGAAAUCACUUGCAAUGUUAUUGGGUGAACCCAUGUUUGAUUCUUGUAACUAAAGGUUCAGUAAAUGAUGCCACAUUCUCGAU